This 30-nucleotide non-coding RNA is filed under the name Mus musculus (house mouse). The record is from RNAcentral. Lineage: Eukaryota; Metazoa; Chordata; Mammalia; Rodentia; Muridae.
UUGAAGAACAGGUAGAUGAAUGAUAUGCUA